ACUCAAAUGAAUUGACGGGGGCCCGCACAAGCGGCGGAGCAUGUGGAUUAAUUCGAUGCAACGCGAAGAACCUUACCUGGGUUUGACAUGCACAGGACGCAUCCAGAGAUGGGUGUUCCCUUGUGGCCUGUGUGCAGGUGGUGCAUGGCUGUCGUCAGCUCGUGUCGUGAGAUGUUGGGUUAAGUCCCGCAACGAGCGCAACCCUUGUCUCAUGUUGCCAGCGGUUCGGCCGGGGACUCGUGAGAGACUGCCGGGGUCAACUCGGAGGAAGGUGGGGAUGACGUCAAGUCAUCAUGCCCCUUAUGUCCAGGGCUUCACACAUGCUACAAUGGCCGGUACAAAGGGCUGCGAUGCCGUGAGGUUAAGCGAAUCCUUGGUAAAGCCGGUCUCAGUUCGGAUCGGGGUCGCUAGUAAUCGCAGAUCAGCAACGCUGCGGUGAAUACGUUCCCGGGCCUUGUACACACCGCCCGU
This 471-nucleotide ribosomal RNA is filed under the name uncultured bacterium. Its description in RNAcentral is "bacterial SSU rRNA". It matches the Rfam family "Bacterial small subunit ribosomal RNA", at positions 899 to 1397 of the family's 1533-position model. The record is from RNAcentral.